Misgurnus anguillicaudatus (oriental weatherfish) is the source of this 1283-nucleotide non-coding RNA. The record is from RefSeq and is a predicted model, not a curated record. NCBI's taxonomy places the organism in Eukaryota, Metazoa, Chordata, Actinopteri, Cypriniformes, Cobitidae.
UUUCAUUUAAAGAGCACCUAUUAUGAGAUACACGUUUUUAAACAUCCUUUUGUGUGUAAGUGUGUAUUAGUACAUGCUAACGAUAUUCAAAAAGUACAUACCUCAAAGAAAACGAUGACGCGAGUUAUCGUCUCUAACGUUCGAGGACUACAAAAAACACUCGGAUUGUAGGCAACAGUUUACUUCCUGGGAUUGGUGACGUAGAUAAGACCAACAUUAUCAUAGUUCAGCCCUCUCUGCUUGGCUUGGGUACGCCCUCAAAGACGGGGGUGGAGAGCGCUGAGUCAGAAGAGAGCUAAAAUGGCGGAGGUUGGGAGUCCCUGCUUUGACCCUGUUUGCAAACUCUUGUUUCAUUGUUUAAGCGAUUAAAUCUCUCGAGUAGACGCUGUCUCUUUAGAUGCAAGGGCAAAAUAGCACUUUAUGGACUAACACAGAGGACAUCAUGUUUAAUACGGUUCCGGAAAAAUCCAGUCAGAAGUUGUUCACGGAGUUUUCACAAUAACUGCUUCUCAUGAACCAAAGCUGCGCGACGUCUCCUCCUGAAAGUUGGAUUACCGUGCACUUCUGGAUCACAGGCUAUUCGCAGCUGGACACAUCCUUCUACACUGUAUGCAAACAUGCAACAUCAUUACACACAGUACAAGGCAUAUGAGGAGCAAAGGAACCCAGGCAGUAGCAUCGUUUCACAAUGUUUCAAUCACCAUCAUCAGUGGAUGCCUUUGCCGUCCGUAGCCUGAGAUUUCAGAUUUGCAGCAAAAAAUGUGACUUUCCCAUUUAAUGGAAUGCUGUGCAGGUUGUACCUUGCAGCCAUCCAUUACAAUGUCACCAAGCCAUAACAAAAGCAGGAGAGGGAAAGUACAAGGCUAUGUUCCCAAAACACACAAGUGACAUACUGCUUGUGUUUGAUGAGGUAUUUGAAGAUAAGCUGAAGGAAACCCCGAUUCCAAUGGACCUGGCAUCACAGUUUGAGAGACCUUCAAAGGAGGACGUGAUUGCAUGCCAUCUUCAGUGCAGGGGUCGUCGGAAGCCAACAUUCCAAUCAGGAAGCUCCAAGCAUAUCUGGAGAACAACACACGACAGGAUGAUAACCCUAAAGUGUCGUCUUAGAUAGCACCAGCUGACAAAGCUUUGAUAUGCCAUUUAUCUGAAUAGAUAGCUGUAAGAAGUGAAUUGAACAAUUUUUUGAAAGAAGAGCACAAUAUGGUUACUAAAGUAUGUUUAUUUGUAUAUUGUUUAACAGUUAAAUAUAUAUUUGUAAUAAAUAAACUUUUGACUGACUACUA